Orcinus orca (killer whale) is the source of this 461-nucleotide long non-coding RNA. RefSeq lists it as uncharacterized. The transcript has 5 exons. The record is from RefSeq and is a predicted model, not a curated record. NCBI's taxonomy places the organism in Eukaryota, Metazoa, Chordata, Mammalia, Artiodactyla, Delphinidae.
UCUUCCAUAGGUGGGAGUAUAUCAAACCUCUAUGGUAUAUUAGUAGCUCGUUAUAGGCAAUAUCCAGAGAUAAAAACAAAAGGCAUGACAGCACUUCCAUGCAUUGUAUUGUUUGUUUCUGAACAAGGUCAAUAUUCAGUAAAAAAAAGCUGCAGCAAUCCUUGGUAUGGGAACUGAUAAUGUAAUUGAAGCAAAAUGUGAUGAAAGGGGAAAGAUGAUUCCAGCUGAGUUGGAGAAAAAUAUAUUACAAGCUAAAAGGAAGGCAGCUUGGGGAGGUGGAUUGUUGCUGUCCAGAAACCACUCCUAUAAACUCAGUGGCAUUGAAAGAGCACAGGCUCCGGACGCACAGGCUCAGCGGCCAUGGCUCACGGGCCCAGCCGCUCUGUGGAAUGUGGGAUCCUCCCGGACCGGGGCACGACCCCGUGUCCCCUGCAUCGGCAGGCGGACUCUCAACCACUGCG